UACGUAGGGCGCGAGCGUUGCCCGGAUUUAUUGGGCGUAAAGGGCGCGUAGGCGGCCACGCACGUCUGUUGUGAAAUCGCCCGGCUCAACUGGGCGAGGUCGGCGGAUACGGCGUGGCUGGAGCAAGCUAGGGGGCAAUGGAAUUCCCGGUGUAGUGGUGGAAUGCGUAGAUAUCGGGAGGAACACCAGUGGCGAAGGCGGUUGCCUGGAGCUUUGCUGACGCUGAGGCGCGAAAGCGUGGGGAGCGAUCCGG
This 253-nucleotide ribosomal RNA is filed under the name uncultured bacterium. RNAcentral describes it as "partial 16S ribosomal RNA". It matches the Rfam family "Bacterial small subunit ribosomal RNA", at positions 524 to 776 of the family's 1533-position model. The record is from RNAcentral.